UGAUUUUGGGAAGAUUAGCAAAAAGCAGAAAAGUGAGGCUUUCUACUUUGUCCCGCUUCACAUUCUGCUUUUUAAAGAAUAUAAUCCACACAGGAGGCGGCGACGUCUAUUCCCUUAAAACGGACCACAGCCAUGCAGAAAAAGAGAGCGAGAGAUACAGAGCCUUUCCAAGAAAAAAAAAAAGAAAGGAAUCCACAGCCGCUCUCAGCUACUGCGCCUUUUGGACAAAGGGAACCAUGCGUCCCGCUCGGCAGAGCUUCGGAGAGACGAAAAAUAAUAACCCUUUGCUUCCCGACUUCUUUUCCUUUAAACGUGCCUGUUCCCGUUUAUUCUCCUGUCGGGAAGUAUCCGUGAGCGGUAACAAUCAGGAUCCGGGAGGCUCUGAGCGCAAAGAAGGGAGCGGAGCAAAGCGAUCCAACAAAGCGCACGGUCGGUUCCCUUCAAGAGAGGUGAAGCGAAUCAAAGAGGUGGAGAGAAAAAAAUAAUAAAAUAAAAACCUCACAAGCCCAGUUGAAGCUGUGUGUUCUGUCUAAAAAGGGUUCCCGACGAUCAUGGGCGCACAGCAGCCUCUCCCCAUCCGUUUCCAAGAAGCUGACAAACUCCCAUUCAUCCAGUGAGUGGCUGCUCCUGCUGCCAGCCUGCCCGCCCGCGCGGCCCGGGUCCUCCCACUUCCUGAUUUCCAGGCGGACUCGGGUCCAGCCUCAGUAGCACUCCUUCAGAGGAUAAACACACUCGUGUGUCUGGGCUUCCGAAAAGCUGUGGCUGAAGGCGCACGGCGAUCUUUUGCGUAUAUGGCGCGCAAAAGGAGAGACAGCAGCGCUCCAAAGCAAUCCAAUGGGAGCAUGCAGACUAGGGAGGGCAGAAAGAUAAAGGAGGAGGAACUAAAGAGGAAGGGAGCACAUAAGAAAACACAACAGGAGGAGACAAGAAAAGACAGACUAGAUGGAGAGAGAGAAGGAGCCAAGCAGGGAGGAAACAGAGGGGAAAGAAACAGCCUGCUGGGUCUUUUUUAAAAGGAAAUGACUACAAGAAAACACUAAGGAAAUCCCUACUAAGGUACUGGGGUAAAAUCUUCCAAGUCUGUGCUGCCUCUGCCCCCGGAAGUGGUUUGCCCGGCUGGGAGACUACGGUCAGAGGGAUUAGGCUCUCUGAAACGCUCUGUCAAGACCAUUCUGUCAGGCACCAAUGGAGGCAGUCUCAGCCACCCCCAGCGCAAUCCCUAUGCUCCUCUCAAACAAGCCUCUUCAAGGCUCUCUCUGUACUCAACAGCGCCAGAGUGGGGGCCAAUAAUAGGCUCUCUGGAGGAUACAAGAUGGGCCCCGGACUUCAAAAGGCAGCAGGGUGACAGACAGCAGGGAGGUCCCUACCCAGCCUCCCUUUCCGUUCUGUCACCGAUGUCCUUUCUGUCUAUCUCGUCUCAGUGUGUCCACCGCCCACCUCCAGUACCAACCGCUGAGGGGGACCUGGCUGCGUUUUGCAGGGCCUGAGCUAAAUAAGACUGUUGUUCCCUCCACAGCAGCCUCCCUUCUGGGGGGACCUGAUGAUGGGAAGCAGAGAAACCUGACGUUGAGAUCCUUUUUAUGGCUCACAGAGAGAAAAGAUAUCUGGGACAUCAGAAUGAAAAUGUAGCCAAGAGCUUUCUUGGGACUCAAGACACAUCAGGUGAUCUGUGCUGUCUUUUGGAUCUCCUCAAAGGAUUACCACUCAGCUCUUUAAAAACUCUUCCCUCCACUGAUUCAACUAAACAAGAGGACACUUA
Molecule: long non-coding RNA, 1759 nt
Organism: Xiphophorus couchianus (Monterrey platyfish)
Lineage: Eukaryota; Metazoa; Chordata; Actinopteri; Cyprinodontiformes; Poeciliidae
Exons: 2
Source: RefSeq, a predicted model, not a curated record